UAAAAGAAAAAAGAAAAUAUAAUGAUAGUAACAAUAAUGUUAAAUUAAUUAAUUUAGUAAUAAAAUAGCAAAAAGAGCAAAAACAAAAAAAGGGGGCCAAAUCGAACUUUUAAACAAAAAAUUGGGGAAAAUCUGAAAUAAAAAUAAGGUAAGGGACCACAUUGAAAAGCGCAAAUAACAUAGAGGGACCAAAAGGAAAAAUAUCCCCGUCCUCAAAACACAGCGCUUUACACGGGGCCGAAUUGAAAUAAAAGAAAAAUCAUAGAGCAAAAUUGAAAAUAAAAAUAAACUGUAUUAAAAAGAUGGAAAAUGCGGAAGGACUAAAAGGGUAAAUAGACCCUUAGUAAAAAAACACGCGAAUCCUGGGGUCUAUGGGUCGGAUCUCGGGCUAAAAGCCAAAACAACGCCGUUUUGGGGCUAUGGAAGCCAGCCCUAAAACGACGUCAUUUAAUGCGUCUAUAAAAGCUCAAUUUAAAAAAAAAAAACAUUCAGCCGUCACUUUUAAAAAAAAUCUAAUUAACUCUCUCAGUCUUUCUCAGCCUCCAGAGUUCCGGCCGUAGCUCCGACCAUUCGUCCCCGCACCGGCCGUCGGUUGCCAACGACGGCGCACCGUAUACGGCAGCCAAAAACUAAAAAUUUUCUCUUUUUUUUGGUGAUCGAAAACCGGUGGUGGCAGAGCAGUUGACGGUGGCAGACCUCGGGGUGCAGGCGUGCGGCGCAGGAGCACUAGGGUUUCUAUUUUCCUCUGAAAACAGUUAGGUUGUGGGCUUAGGAUUUUUUUUAUUAUUUGGGGCCAUGUGGGCCCGCUGUGAUUUCGACUGUAAUAGGGUUGCUCUUUUUUUUUUUUUUUUUGUCUUGUUUUAUAUUGGCCCCUCUUUUUUUGUUUUGGUUUUCUAGCAGGCCGGGUAAAUUUGGACUUCUACAGACUGUUUAUUUUUUUAAUUAGGUCUUUAAGCCGUUUUUAAAUUUAAUUAGAAAAUAGGUCUUUUUUGACCGGAGACGUAUAGGAUAAAACUAUUAGCAUUUAA
Gossypium raimondii (Peruvian cotton) is the source of this 1028-nucleotide long non-coding RNA. RefSeq lists it as uncharacterized. Lineage: Eukaryota; Viridiplantae; Streptophyta; Magnoliopsida; Malvales; Malvaceae. The transcript is spliced from 2 exons. The record is from RefSeq and is a predicted model, not a curated record.